AUUGAACGCUGGCGGCAGGCCUAACACAUGCAAGUCGAGCGGUAGCACAGAGAGCUUGCUCUCGGGUGACGAGCGGCGGACGGGUGAGUAAUGUCUGGGAAACUGCCUGAUGGAGGGGGAUAACUACUGGAAACGGUAGCUAAUACCGCAUAACGUCGCAAGACUAAAGUGGGGGACCUUCGGGCCUCAUGCCAUCAGAUGUGCCCAGAUGGGAUUAGCUAGUAGGUGGGGUAAUGGCUCACCUAGGCGACGAUCCCUAGCUGGUCUGAGAGGAUGACCAGCCACACUGGAACUGAGACACGGUCCAGACUCCUACGGGAGGCAGCAGUGGGGAAUAUUGCACAAUGGGCGCAAGCCUGAUGCGGCCAUGCCGCGUGUGUGAAGAAGGCCUUCGGGUUGUAAAGCACUUUCAGCGGGGAGGAAGGCGAUAAGGUUAAUAACCUUGUCGAUUGACGUUACCCGCAGAAGAAGCACCGGCUAACUCCGUGCCAGCAGCCGCGGUAAUACGGAGGGUGCAAGCGUUAAUCGGAAUUACUGGGCGUAAAGCGCACGCAGGCGGUCUGUCAAGUCGGAUGUGAAAUCCCCGGGCUCAACCUGGGAACUGCAUUCGAAACUGGCAGGCUAGAGUCUUGUAGAGGGGGGUAGAAUUCCAGGUGUAGCGGUGAAAUGCGUAGAGAUCUGGAGGAAUACCGGUGGCGAAGGCGGCCCCCUGGACAAAGACUGACGCUCAGGUGCGAAAGCGUGGGGAGCAAACAGGAUUAGAUACCCUGGUAGUCCACGCCGUAAACGAUGUCGAUUUGGAGGUUGUGCCCUUGAGGCGUGGCUUCCGGAGCUAACGCGUUAAAUCGACCGCCUGGGGAGUACGGCCGCAAGGUUAAAACUCAAAUGAAUUGACGGGGGCCCGCACAAGCGGUGGAGCAUGUGGUUUAAUUCGAUGCAACGCGAAGAACCUUACCUGGUCUUGACAUCCACAGAACUUUCCAGAGAUGGAUUGGUGCCUUCGGGAACUGUGAGACAGGUGCUGCAUGGCUGUCGUCAGCUCGUGUUGUGAAAUGUUGGGUUAAGUCCCGCAACGAGCGCAACCCUUAUCCUUUGUUGCCAGCGGUUAGGCCGGGAACUCAAAGGAGACUGCCAGUGAUAAACUGGAGGAAGGUGGGGAUGACGUCAAGUCAUCAUGGCCCUUACGACCAGGGCUACACACGUGCUACAAUGGCAUAUACAAAGAGAAGCGACCUCGCGAGAGCAAGCGGACCUCAUAAAGUAUGUCGUAGUCCGGAUUGGAGUCUGCAACUCGACUCCAUGAAGUCGGAAUCGCUAGUAAUCGUAGAUCAGAAUGCUACGGUGAAUACGUUCCCGGGCCUUGUACACACCGCCCGUCACACCAUGGGAGUGGGUUGCAAAAGAAGUAGGUAGCUUAACCCUCGGGAGGGCGCUUACCACUUUGUGAUCCAUGACUGGGGUGA
This 1463-nucleotide ribosomal RNA is filed under the name uncultured Klebsiella sp. RNAcentral describes it as "bacterial SSU rRNA". It matches the Rfam family "Bacterial small subunit ribosomal RNA". The record is from RNAcentral. Lineage: Bacteria; Pseudomonadati; Pseudomonadota; Gammaproteobacteria; Enterobacterales; Enterobacteriaceae.